AUUGAACGCUGGCGGCAGGCCUAACACAUGCAAGUCGAACGGUAGCACAGAGAGCUUGCUCUCGGGUGACGAGUGGCGGACGGGUGAGUAACGUCUGGGAAACUGCCCGAUAGAGGGGGAUAACCACUGGAAACGGUGGCUAAUACCGCAUAACGUCGCAAGACCAAAGAGGGGGGAACUUCGGGCCUCCCACUAUCGGAUGAACCCAGAUGGGAUUAGCUAGUAGGCGGGGUAACGGCCCACCUAGGCGACGAUCCCUAGCUGGUCUGAGAGGACGACCAGCCACACUGGAACUGAGACACGGUCCAGACUCCUACGGGAGGCAGCAGUGGGGAAUAUUGCACAAUGGGCGCAAGCCUGAUGCAGCCAUGCCGCGUGUAUGAAGAAGGCCUUCGGGUUGUAAAGUACUUUCAGCGGGGAGGAAGGCGAUGUGGUUAAUAACCGCGUCGAUUGACGUUACCCGCAGAAGAAGCACCGGCUAACUCCGUGCCAGCCGCCGCAGUAA
RNAcentral lists this ribosomal RNA (505 nucleotides) under uncultured bacterium. Its description in RNAcentral is "partial 16S ribosomal RNA". It matches the Rfam family "Bacterial small subunit ribosomal RNA", at positions 29 to 523 of the family's 1533-position model. The record is from RNAcentral.